AUAAUAGAAUCAAAAUAAAAUACACAAAAUAAAUAAAACUACAAAUUCAAGAACAAACAAUAAAUAAAAUAAAAGUAGUAAAACAUAUUCAGUUUCUUUUUUUAUGAGUGAAAAACAUCCGCCACAAAAUACCCAAUGUAUUUUUCUACACCUUGAAACCAGUUGUACCACAAAUUCUGUACUUGAUUAAAAGUACAAAUAAAUAAAUAUUGCUAAAUAUUAAUACAUUUAAUCAAGUUAAAUUUGUACUUGGGUUGAAGUACUUAAUACUUAAGUAUUAAAAGUAAAAAGUACUAUGGUUGUGUUUUACAUGACAGAUUUAAUAAAAGAUCAUUAGAAUAACUGAAAAUAAAAUUCAGUCAGCUAAUCUUUCAGCUCUACCUGUAUAAACUGUUGGGUAGUUUAAUUUAUAACAAAACAUUUGAUUAAGUCUGCAAAAAUCUUAAUUUGUAAAGUAAUUUAAGCUGUCAGAUGAAUUUAGUACAAAUUAAAAUGUAUUGGAGUAGAAAAGAAAAUACUGAAGUAAAUUACAAAUACCUCUAAUUUGUACUUCAGUACAGUACUUGUAUAGAGUACAACAAGUGCUGAAAACAUGUCUGGAAGGGACCUUUGAUACUUUAAUAAUCUGGUUUGUGUAUUCUGUGACACACAGCAGUAAAUAAAGCUUCAGUUCUUUGUGUUCACCACUAGUAACACAUCUCUAGUCCAGUAAUGCUGCAGGACUCACCUCAGCACUACUGAGCCAGGUAAGGCCUCCACCAGAGACCGUGUCUUUAUUUAAAACUCACAUGAAUGUAACAUGGUUGGAAGAAACAGGUUUUCGUAUUUAAGCAGGGUUAAAGUUCAACUUCUUUUGAGCCUUUCUGCAUUUACUGAGGUGCUGCUGAAGUUCUGACGGUGGCAACGUCUCCUCUCCUAAACAAACCGUCAGCAUUCUGCCUGUGAGAUGUGAAGGCCGAUCAGCAGUCAGACGCUCCGGUCGACAGCGGCUUCAGCAGCCAGCCAAUGGAGGAAGAGUUUGCACACACAUUCAAGACCGAGUACAAAUGCGUUCGAGUCUGAGACGAGACCGUCAAAAAGAAACGGACUCGAGUACUGCAACACUACAAAGCUGAACUAAAGUGGACUGACGCAUCACUUCUGUGUGUGCUGUUUGUCAGACUAAUGUUGAAUUUGAUUGUGAAUGUUACAGAUCUAAAAACGGUACAUUUUAAAACUACUGACUUUAGGAUUCUUCCCCUUAGCAAUGACAGGGCUUGUACUAGUUAUGGAGAAUCCGUUUAAGUACCUAUUUAUUAUUAUGUUUUCUUAUUUAACACAUAAAUAUGCAUAUGUUGUUUUAUAUGUGACUUUUGUACCAAAGUAGAAUAUCAGCUACCAAAGACCCGUCUCUAUAUAUUCAGUUACACUCCUUUGUACGUUUCACGUUGCAGAAUUGAACAAAUAACAAUUAAAACAA
Molecule: long non-coding RNA, 1459 nt
Organism: Micropterus salmoides (largemouth bass)
Lineage: Eukaryota; Metazoa; Chordata; Actinopteri; Centrarchiformes; Centrarchidae
Exons: 2
Source: RefSeq, a predicted model, not a curated record